UUUUUAUUUUCAAGAAUAUUAAAUAUUAAAUAAAUAAUUUUGGUUAACUACAUGAAUAUGUUUUUUUCCUUUGACAAUUGUGAUAAAUGAAUAAUGACUAAUCUCUAUUUCCAUCUACAUUGCACUUCAUUGGAAUAUCAUUGAUUUUGUAAUAUAUCUUCUGUUAUUAUUUCUGAUCAUGUUGAAUAAGGUUGGACGUUUCCUUUAUCAUUAUGUAUUCAAGCGGAGCUCCACAUUUACACUCGGUGUUGUAAUUAGCACGAUGUUCUUUGAGAGAGCUUUCGAUCAAGCUUGUGAUUAUAUACAUGAAACUGUGAAUAAAGGGAGGCUUUGGAAGGACAUAAAGCAUCGAUAUGAAAAUCCAAUUAUAGAAACUCGAUAUAUACACAGUGAUCAAUUAAAGCCCUUCACUAAUAUAGAAAAUCAUUAAGAAUACAGGUAUAGUCAUAUUAGCAGGCGGAGAAUUUUCCAUAUCUUAAAAUUUCUCCUUAAUCUCAACUCCUAUUAUAUAUACAUACAUAAAGCGGAAAUGCGUUGUGACUUCUGUCUCUCCCAUUCGCUUUUUCACUUUAUAUGCUCAUGUGAUCGUGUGGCAAAUGUGAGAGCAGCGUAACGGGAGAAGAGAUGAUAGUGGAAAAUGAAACUUUUGAUAUUUUUUAUCAACUUUGA
Monomorium pharaonis (pharaoh ant) is the source of this 669-nucleotide long non-coding RNA. RefSeq lists it as uncharacterized. Lineage: Eukaryota; Metazoa; Arthropoda; Insecta; Hymenoptera; Formicidae. The record is from RefSeq and is a predicted model, not a curated record. The transcript is spliced from 4 exons.